GGUAACUCCCCAUAGUCUGGGUUUUAGUGAUGGAGCCAGAAUGUACACACAGAGCACCGACUUCCAUUCCAGUCUUUCUCUUCACCGUCUGUUCAGUGAACCCACGAGUGCUGUUUAGACUCCUCCGUGGCUACCAGAUCUAAAGACCUUCCAUCGAGUCUGUGGAGAGGCUUUCAAAUACAAAAUUCAACAGUGCCUUUGUUUUUAUGAAAAACAGGUCUACUCUCAAUCUGUAACUGUUUGAUGCCAACUGCAUACACAGCACUGUUGCCACCGAAGCUCAAUGGUAGAAUCUGAAAACAUUGUAGAAGGAUCAGUCAUGAUCAUGUGACACUUUAAAACCUAAUGUGACACACACACACACUCCACUCCCCAUGUGGAAUUUCCAUGCUGUGGCCUACAAUUUUAGGUUCAGUAGAGAAUUUAAGAAAAAAAAAAAAAAAAGAUCCCUUCCAACUCUUUGUACCUAAAAGUGAUUAAUUAUUGGGUUUUCUCUGCCUUUGGUAUUUCCUGGCAAACACCUUUGAAAUCUCAGAGCCACGUGUUUAUUCAAUUAACUUCUACACCCUGUGAUCUGGGAUAAGAAGUUACAGGCCACCUUUCAGCUCCCUAGGCCACACUGAAUCUACCCCUGCAAGAGCUGAGACAGGUGCUCUCCUCUCCUCCUGCUCUGCCCUUGUUUCUUUUCCCCCUCCUCUCCCUUCCCUCUUGUCUUAAUCACUGCUAAGAUGAGAAUCUUAGCUGGUCAAAGUGGUGUACAAUGUUCAUGCCAGCAUUUGAAAAGCAGAGGCAGGCUCUUACAGGAUUGAGGCCUACAGAGUGUCUUCAAGACAGCCAGGGCUGCCUAUUGCUGUGAAGAGACACCUUGACCGAGGCAUCUUUCAUACAAGAAAGCAUUUAAUUGGGGGCUUGCGUACAGUUUUACCAGCUAAUCCUUUGUCAUCAUGUUGGGAAGCAGACAGGCAUGGUGCUGAAGCUAAGAGCUUUACAUUCUUAUUCCUCAGGUAAGAGACCUCCAACAAGGACACACCUCCCAUGAACGGGGGACUAAGGAUGCAAAUAAAUAUGAGCCUAUUGGGGCCAUUCUGAUUCAAACCAGGACACCUCCUCUCUGCUGUCUUCUCUCUCUUCUCAUUUCCUUUUUUUUUUUUUUAAAUGUCGGUCUGUGUAGAGUGUCAGCACUUUGGAACAGCAAGCAAUGGUCGUGCUUUUGCAUGCAUUGGAGGUGAGAUUUCAGUGGCAGGGUUAGUAGGAAGGCUGGGGUCACUUCCUACUGUUUAUUAAAUCUGAGAAAUUGUGACUUACGUGAAAAGUCUAAUACUUGUAUAUGUCCCAUCUACAAUAUCAAUUUGACUGUCUCCUCGGCUUCGACAAUUGGGGUUUAGCACGAUACCCUUGGCUUCAGCUUCUGUGACAUUUGGAUGUCAUGUUCAGUGCUCUACUGUGAACCAUCUGUGCUUUCACUGGCUGCUUCUGAAACAGACAUACAUAUGCUCCCAGAGGCCGGCUGGUAUCUAUGAGGUGUUUGUAAGUGUCCAUAAGCGAAAGUCAACAAGCACAGCAAACCAUACAUAAUGAAAUCUCGAUUCAGAGUGGUAGCUCUGGGCAUGGUGGCGAGUAACUAUCAUCCUAGGGAGAUGGCUAUGAGUUAGAGGCUAGCCUGGAUGACCUGGUACUACUCAGGCCUUUCUCAAAAGCAGCUGGAGGAGAGGUUGGAGAGACGGCUCAGUGGUUAAGAGCUCUGACUGCUCUGCUUUCCAGAGGACCUGGGUUUAAUCCCUAGCACCUACUGAUGGCUUACGGCCAUCUGUAACUCCAGUUCUAGGGGGAAUCUGACACCCGCUUGGGGCUUCUUAGGAUAACAGGCAUGCGUGUAAUUCACAGACAUACAUGCAGACACAAUGCCCAUACAUGUGAUUUUUUAAAAGUUAAGCCAGGCGUGGUGGCACACGCCUUUAAUCCCAGCACUCGGGAGGGAGAGGCAGGUAGAUUUCUGAGUUCUAGGCCAGCCUGGUCUACAAAGUGAGUUCCAGGACAGCCAGAGCUACACAGAGAAACCCUGUCUCGAAAAACAAAACAAAUAAAAAGUUAAAAACACCCAAGCAGGACCCAUCCCUUUAAUCCCAGUACACCGUAGACAGGCAGGUGAUCUCUGUAAGUUCACGGCCAGUCCAGUCUACAGAGUGAGUGAGUUCCAGGUCAGCCGGGGCUACGUAGUGAGACCCUUUCUCAAAAACAAAACCAAGCACACAUGCACAUGGUUAUGUCUGAGAAAAUCCAAACAACAAACCAAAAACCACAAAGUUACUGAGUGAUCAUAAAACAAUGAUUCAGUCAGUUAAAGUCAUUAUAGCCUGGCCUGCAGACAGGACACCUGCCACAUCAAUGUAGAAUUAUAGGAAGUAAUACUUGGUGUUUACUCAUAAAGAAUGGAUGCCAUAUGUUUGAUGAACCAAGAUGGGUAUCGUUUCAUGAUGAGAUUCAGAAAUUCAUUCUCAGUGUGAAAGUGUCAUUGAACAGAGAGGCAGGCAACUCUCCUUACAUUCUUGCUUCCUACUAUAUUUUCAUACUUCCCAUUUCUGCCUUUCCCUUUCUGUUUAUGAUAUAGAUUUCUGGGUAGUACAGGAACCACGGCUUUCUUGGAACACAUGACAGGCCUUGGGAACCCUUGUGUAGGUAGAAGAGCGUUUUUGACUAGACCUUAGAUCCACUCAUCUAUGAUUAGGGCUGUUACAGACACUUGAAAAGGCUAACACCUGCACACACUCCUACACACAUGCCAUAUUCCUUUUACUGUAUCUGUGAGUUGAAGAAUCAUGCACAGUUAAGGUCACUGAUUUCACAACAGCCUUGAGGGCCUUUACCUCUGACAAGACUUCUUGGGCAAAAGAGAAAGUGCUUGGCUCUAGUUUUUGUUUUUCACAGGUCAAAACUGGAAAUAUUCUCUUGAGUCCGCAGCAUAAACUCUGUGUGUGUCACUCUGUGUGUGAACAUGUGGGAACCAGGCACAGUGCUGAUUUCACUGGGUUGACAUGUUUGCAUCGUCGUUGAAAAAAACCAUGUCUACUCUUCAGAGCUCCUAAGAAGUCCCUGAACAUGGGAUGUUUUCUGUUUUGUUUGCUCAAAAAGUUGGGUGUUUUUGUUGUUGUAAUUUUAUUUGCAAAGCAAUACAUUUUUAAAAGAACAAUCCAAAGAGAAGAAAUUAUUACAGUUAGUAAAAUGGAAGACAAGAACUAAGAUGACCUGACCAUCUCAUCUUUUUAAUUGUUUUAUCUCUUGCUUUUCACCUUAAAAAAAAAUUAAAAGCUUUAAAUAUGUGUUAUUUGAUAAUGCUUUUGAAUUGUGUGUUUUUCCUCAUAAGAUUUUAAGCCCAAAGGUGUAUCUUAUGUAUAAUUAGUAAAGAGUAUUUAAUACAUAGAAUAGUUAUUUUUUAAAAAAUUAUUAAAAAUUUUACCUUGAUU
This 3461-nucleotide long non-coding RNA is filed under the name Mus musculus (house mouse). RNAcentral's name for it is "long non-coding RNA chr6:100807450-100810911". Lineage: Eukaryota; Metazoa; Chordata; Mammalia; Rodentia; Muridae. The record is from RNAcentral.